Molecule: long non-coding RNA, 888 nt
Organism: Brassica napus (rape)
Lineage: Eukaryota; Viridiplantae; Streptophyta; Magnoliopsida; Brassicales; Brassicaceae
Exons: 7
Source: RefSeq, a predicted model, not a curated record
UCAACUAUAGUCUGUCCUAACCAUUUUUUUUUGGUCAAAAAAUCUGUUCAUCCCUUCUCUCCCUUAUUCGGCGACGAUGACUGUAGAACUUCCUCAACGUUCAUGAAAUGGAUCUGUGAUUAAUCCCAACAAUUGAGAGGCUGGUCCGGCAAGUGUUCUGCUGCGAUUCUGAGAGGCCAGGAAUGUCAAGCGCUCAUGUGGCUUGAUAUGCUGAUGGUGGACAUUAAUAUCUAGAUGUAUCACUUGGAAAGAUACUCUCUUCCCUGAAACAAAGAAUAUCACCAUUAUUUGUUUCCAGAGGCUGAUAAGAUCAAAGACUGAAACCAAAGGUUAUCAACCACGCUGAUUUAUUUAGAUCGGUUUCAGACAAAUGAAACCAAACUUCAGGAAGAGAAAGUUUGAAAGUUGAUCCCAGCUGGAGUCUCCAGCGUCAUUAUCUCCUACAGAGCUCAAAGGUUUCAGGAGAGACUGUUGGAUCCAAGAGAAGCAAGCAAGAUUAAGCUGAACUUAAUAUAGAAGUGUGUGGUUAAUCAUGGUUCACAUUUAUAGAGUAUGUUGUUAUACACCGGUAAUCGGUACCUGAAGGUACUUCUGCAGUCCUAUGUAUACACAUUAAAAGUUGUGGCUCUGCUCUGGGAUCCAUGCAACAGACCGACUGCUGCAGAGGCUCGGUACGUUCCGUCCUUUCAGGUACACCAGAGAGUAUGUGCUUCAGACGCUAUGGCUGUUACCGUUCCUGUCUUCAUCAGUUGAUUUAACUUUUGUACAUGAUGUUAAGUGUUUGCUGUGCAAUCUCUGUAGCUGCAGAGGCUCUGUACGUUCCGUCCAUUUUUUGUACUGGAAAGAUUUUCUUUUUUUGAAGAUAAUAUUAACAGUUUAUAUUGCCAA